ACGCAAUGGUGACUUUUUCACCUUCAUAGCCGACGACAUAACCUCACGUGGUAAACAUACCCUUGCCAACAAGUGUACAUAUUCUGUCUUGCUGCUUAGGAAGAAAUUUAUUCUGGGAAAGUGGGAAAACAGGCGACACCAUGGUCCCUGGAUCUUUAGAAGAACAUGAAGCUGAUAUUAUAUUUGUCGUUGAGGGAACUGCAAUCAAUGGAGCCUACCUAAAUGAUCUAAAAGCAAAUUAUAUUGUACCUACAUUACAGUACUUCAGUCAUACCAAACAAGAUGACUGGGAUAAUAUUGAGAGUCAGAGUGUCAUAUAUGGUCUUGUCAUUUAUCAUGCAGCGGAUUGUUUACCUAGUCCAAGUAGCGAUAGUUAUGGUCCAUUCUACAAUCCUAACAAAUUUCUUGCUUCCCUUGAUAGUGUUGAAAUGGUGGGAGGGAAAGGUGAAGCAUAUGCCAAUGUUGCUGAAGGACUGGCCACUGCCAUUCAGUGCUUUGAAGAUCUCAAACUGAAACGUGAUGGAUUGGGGGCUGUCCAAAAGCAUUGUGUUCUUAUAGGGAAUUCCCCACCUUAUCUUUUACCCGCAAUGGAAGCUCCUUCAUUCUGUGGAAAAACUGUAGAUGAACUAGCCUUACUACUUAAAGAAUAUGGUGUCAACCUUUCUAUUCUUUCACCUAGAAAAAUGCCUUCCCUAUUUAAACUAUAUGAAGAAGCUGGAGGAGAUCUGCAGUUAAGCCAAACCAAAAAUUAUGCCAAAGAUCCCCGGCAUUUAGUGUUACUAAAAGGAUAUAGUCUUCAGGAACGCGCAGUCAGUCCAAGUCCGCCAAAUGCUAGUCAGAUGCUCAUUCUCAACCAACCUCACACCCCUUCAGGACAAUCGGGGCAGCAAAGCCAACUGACGCCCCCUCAGUCACAAGCACCAGGCUCAAACCCGGGCUCACUCCAAGGCAUACCGCCAUCACCAGUUGGCAUGGUGAUCCCAUCAAUGUCCAGCCCUCUUCCAAACGUUGGAAGCCCAAUCACAAGCAUUGCAGCCAGUGUCAGCUCUGGAGGGCCUGGAGGCCAGCAGCAGCAAUCGCCCAUCAUGACUGGGGUCAACAUGUUCCGGGGCAACCAACAAACGGCACAGCAACAGCAGCAGGCUCAACAGCAAGCGCAGCAGCAAGCACAACAGCAAGCACAACAGCAAGCACAACAGCAAGCUCAGAAACAAGCUCAGCAACAAGCUCAGCAGCAAGCUCAACAAGCCCAGCAGCAAGCACUGCAACAGCAAGCACAGCAACAAGCACUUCAGCAACAGCAGCAACAACAGCAGCAACAACAAAACACACAGGCUGGUCAACAGAAUGCACAGGGUAUGGUGGGACCAAUGACUGGUCAAAGACCACCGUUUCCACCACAGCCUCCUGGUUAUGGUGCCAUGCCUGGAGGCGCAGGCAUUAACCGACCUCAGUGGCGUUUCCCUGCACAGGCUCGAGCCCAGUUUCAGGGUCAAGGAUUUGCUGGCAAUGGAAAUUCUACUCCACAGCAGAGCUCAGCUCUCAUUGCUCAGCUAACUCAACCACCAACAAGCAUUGGCCCAGGUGUUAAUCAGUCUCAGCUCUCUGCUCAGUUUGCAGCAGGAGCGGGUCAGAUGCGCCUAAAUCAAAUGAUGGCUGCUCAAAGUCAGCUACAAAACCCUGGCCAGGGCACAAUAGGAAUGCAAGGAGCACAAGGAUUAACUCAAACAGUUGGUCCUAGUCCACAGCAGCAACAACAGGCUCAGCAGCAAGCACAGCAGCAGCAACAGCAGCAGCAGGCCCUAGUCCAGAAGCAAUUGCAGCAGCAAGCUCAGAUGGGUCAGCAAGCUCAGCAAGUUCAACAAUCGCAGCAAGGUGGGCAGGGAGAAAGGCACUUUAUUUGGAGUGGUGUCUUAGAAUGGGUCGAAAAGCAAGUUAAAGCACCUGCUCCCAAUCAACCAAAAAUGUCACGACAGGUGGCUUGUCAAGUUUCAAUAGCUGCCAAAGAUCUCCAAGGACUCUCUGCUGAGACCUGGCCGGAGACACUUCUCAUGCAGUUGAUGCCCAAAACAUUGAUUAGUACUAUUGGAGCUCCUUUUCUUAAAAAUUCGAAGUCAGUGUACUUCCAUCCUCAGCCUUGUGACGCUUUAGAUAGUCUAAUACAGUUGCUAUUGACAGGAUAUGUUGGUUGUGUACAUUUUACAAGUGCUAACAAUACUUGUGAAAUCAAAGUCCUCCUGUUGAUCUAUCAAGCUGAAAAAAGAGCAUUUUUUGGAUUCAUUCCAAAUGACCAAACAGGCUUUGUCGACAGAUUACGCAAAUUGAUUCAGCAAACAAAGCAAGGAAGGGGUCAGCUAAAUGCUCAACGAGCCCAGCAAAUGCAGCUACAAGCACAGCAACAGGCUCAACAGCAAGCGCAACAGCAAGCACAACAGCAAGGAAUGAUGAUUUCACAGACAAAUCAAAUGGCUGUGGUUGGUGGCCAGAUCACACAGAAUGUUGUUGCAGCUGGUGGAGUGAAUGGUCCACAAACGCAACCAAUGGGACAGCAAGUCACAAACAAUAUGGCCGGUGUAGGGGCUUCUGGUCCUAUGUCAACUCAAAACCCUCUAGGAAUUCAAGGUGUUGAUGGAAGCAUGGGUUUACGCAUGCCUGGCCCUAGUACUGGAGGACCCAACAUGCAGGUAACUGGGCAAGGAAAUAUGAUGGCUCGAGGUGGUUUAGGUGCUAUGCAGAGAUCUAUGAACCCUCAAAUGCAAGCUCAAGGGCAAAGUAACGAUAUGCAACAACUGAAACAAUUUGAGCUUAUUAACUUCAAGUUUCAGCAGCAGAAAAUGCAAUCAAAUAUGGACAUGAACCAACAAGUUUUUGAUAAUGAUCAAGGAAAGUUAAGAGCUCAGCUACAACUGCAACAAUUGCAGCAAAAACAACAAGCCAUGCAACAACAGCAGCAAUUGCAGCAAAAACAACAAGCCAUGCAACAACAGCAGCAAUUGCAGCAGCUGCAACAGCAACAAAUGCAGCAGCAACAGUCAUUGCAGCAGCCUCAAAUGCCUAACCAACAAAGAAUGGUGCGCCCUAAUAAUAAUCCUGGUUUGCGAACACUUUUGCAGCAGCAUCCUCAAAGACCAUUAGUCAUGAUGCAAGGCGUGAGAAAUCCUAAUCUACAGAAUGCAAACAUGCAGCACCAAUUUGAGGAAUAUGACCAUAGACUAGAUUUCUAAUUUCUGAUGACUGAAUCUGCAUUGCUUCUUUUGAACCAUGUUGAUUCAAAAUGUUACCUAGCACCUAAAUUGACCUUGUGAUGCAUCAAUGAAUUAUGGAACAAACACUGUUAUCUGAAUGUAAAUUUAUAUCUUGUGGAGUGUGGUAACUUACUGUGAUAUAUUUGUAUCCAAAACGUUUUAUGAGCUUGUGAAUUUAUUAAGCAGUUUCAUGAAUACAGUAGUUGGAGGGACCACAUGAACUGGGAAGAUCUGAAGAAUGUGAACUUUUCAUUUGUAAGAUGUUCCUCACGUUUCUUCACCUUGUACCUGAGAAUUCAGAACCACAUUUUGUUUUCAUCGACAGAGGUAUAUAAAAAUUUAUAUGUUGUGAUUUUUGACAACCAGAUAUUUAUUUCUAUGCAAUGUGAUCAAUGAGCUUAGAAACUCAGAAACUUAUCAAUGUUAUUUAUGAGCUUCUAAAUAUAAAGCAAAAGACUAAAACAAGCUUUCAUUUUGAUAACUAUGAUUUACAUACAUUAAGACCUCAGAUAAUACUUCUUUUUCCUUAGAAACGAAGAUUCAUACUUAGAUCCUUCCCAAAGAACACGAAACGCUCACCGUGACGUCAUUUUGAUGUAAAUUUAACGAAUUUUAGUCAAAAUUUCUACAUAAAAAGCAUAAUUUUGACGUCAUUUUUACUUCGUUUGACUGCUUUAUGAGUGUUUCGUGUUCUUUGGGUUGUAAAUGUUGAAUGUCCACUGUUUAUUAUACGUUGUUAAGAUCAGAUUUACGAAUUGUUAUUGACUGUGUUUUUAUUUUGUGCAGUAGAUAUUUCAUAUAAUUUACAAAUGUUAAAGAAUUUUUCUUUUUUCUUUGUUACUGAGACUUGUCACAGAAUAAAUAAAAUCAGAAUAAAA
Molecule: unclassified non-coding RNA, 4123 nt
Filed under: Thrips palmi
Lineage: Eukaryota; Metazoa; Arthropoda; Insecta; Thysanoptera; Thripidae
Description: mediator of RNA polymerase II transcription subunit 25-like, transcript variant X4
Source: RNAcentral